RNAcentral lists this ribosomal RNA (223 nucleotides) under uncultured bacterium. RNAcentral describes it as "partial 16S ribosomal RNA". It matches the Rfam family "Bacterial small subunit ribosomal RNA", at positions 109 to 334 of the family's 1533-position model. The record is from RNAcentral.
AGGAAUACAUAGAUAAUCUGCCUUCGAGUUGGGGAUAACCAGUCGAAAGACUGGCUAAUACCGAAUAAGACCACAGGAUCUGCGGAUCUGGGUUAAAGGUUUUUCGCUUGAAGAUGAGUCUAUGCGAGAUUAGCUAGUUGGUGGGGUAAUGGCCUACCAAGGCGACGAUCUCUAACUGGUCUUAGAGGAUGAUCAGUCACACUGGAACUGAGACACGGUCCAG